UCAAACUAAAGAUGGCGACCGGCGCACGGGUGAGUAACACGUAUCCAACCUGCCGAUAACUCGGGGAUAGCCUUUCGAAAGGAAGAUUAAUAUCCGAUAGUAUAUUAAAACCGCAUGGUUUUACUAUUAAAGAAUUUCGGUUAUCGAUGGGGAUGCGUUCCAUUAGUUUGUUGGCGGGGUAACGGCCCACCAAGACUACGAUGGAUAGGGGUUCUGAGAGGAAGGUCCCCCACAUUGGAACUGAGACACGGUCCAA
Molecule: ribosomal RNA, 256 nt
Filed under: uncultured bacterium
Lineage: Bacteria
Description: partial 16S ribosomal RNA
Rfam family: Bacterial small subunit ribosomal RNA
Source: RNAcentral